Molecule: ribosomal RNA, 469 nt
Filed under: uncultured bacterium
Lineage: Bacteria
Description: partial 16S ribosomal RNA
Rfam family: Bacterial small subunit ribosomal RNA
Source: RNAcentral
GACGAACGCUGGCGGCGUGCUUAACACAUGCAAGUCGAACGGAAAGGCCCUGCUUGCAGGGUGCUCGAGUGGCGAACGGGUGAGUAACACGUGGGUGAUCUGCCCCUUACUUUGGGAUAAGCCUGGGAAACUGGGUCUAAUACUGGAUAGGACCAUGCUGUAGGUGGUGUGGUGGAAAGAUUAGUUUCGGUAAGGGAUGAGCUCGCGGCCUAUCAGCUUGUUGGUGGGGUAAUGGCCUACCAAGGCGUCGACGGGUAGCCGGCCUGAGAGGGUGGACGGCCACAUUGGGACUGAGAUACGGCCCAGACUCCUACGGGAGGCAGCAGUGGGGAAGAUUGCACAAUGGGCGCAAGCCGGAUGCAGCGACGCCGCGUGGGGGAUGACGGCCUUCGGGUUGUAAACUCCUUUCAGCCAUGACGAAGCCCUUGUGGUGACGGUAGUGGUAGAAGAAGCACCGGCUAACUACGUG